RNAcentral lists this long non-coding RNA (569 nucleotides) under Nicotiana benthamiana. RNAcentral's name for it is "long non-coding RNA (NBEN_LNC002394)". Lineage: Eukaryota; Viridiplantae; Streptophyta; Magnoliopsida; Solanales; Solanaceae. The record is from RNAcentral.
UUCCUAAUUAUAAAAUCAACUACCUAAUGAAUGAACAUAGGUCUAAAAUUUGAAGCUCAUGAGUACACAUGCUUACCAAAACAGGAUCUAUGUAAGUUAGUAAUCCACACCAUUAAACCAAAAUAAAACUGGAUGUGCCAAAGUUCAUAGUUCAUUUAUCAUUACAAACCCAGAUUUUAAUCCUACUCACGCAUAUAGAUUCAGAAUAUCCCCCCCUCACAUAUAGAUUCAGAAUGCACUAAUAAUGAAGGGAGAAUUUUGAUUGACAAUUAUAGCUAGGGAACUACUACAACGUAUGGAACACAAUAGAAAAAACAGAAAAUUAAAUAAGUGCAACUUGUAUUCUAUCAAAUUUCCAUCGAAUCACAUAGCUAGCAUUCACUUGUUACUCAUGAAUAGAGGAAUACCUGAGAAGCAAAAAUGACAAAAUGAGAGGUCAGCUAUAAGAAGUAAAAGUCAGCGCCUGUUCAUCCAGUGGAACAAUAAACCAAGAUCAAGCAACUUCAACCCAAAAUUUCUCAAUAGACUUGAAUUCGGGUUUUUAAACCCAGAAUGGAAUGAAAUAAAAC